GACGAACGCUGGCGGCGUGCCUAAUACAUGCAAGUAGAACGCACAGUUUAUACCGUAGCUUGCUACACCAUAGACUGUGAGUUGCGAACGGGUGAGUAACGCGUAGGUGACCUGCCUGGUAGCGGGGGAUAACUAUUGGAAACGAUAGCUAAUACCGCAUAAUAUUGAUUAUUGCAUGAUAAUUGAUUGAAAGAUGCUAUUGCAUCACUACCAGAUGGACCUGCGUUGUAUUAGCUAGUAGGUGAGGUAACGGCUCACCUAGGCGACGAUACAUAGCCGACCUGAGAGGGUGAUCGGCCACACUGGGACUGAGACACGGCCCAGACUCCUACGGGAGGCAGCAGUAGGGAAUCUUCGGCAAUGGACGAAAGUCUGACCGAGCAACGCCGCGUGAGUGAAGAAGGUUUUCGGAUCGUAAAGCUCUGUUGUAAGAGAAGAACGGGUGUGAGAGUGGAAAGUUCACACAGUGACGGUAUCUUACCAGAAAGGGACGGCUAACUACGUG
RNAcentral lists this ribosomal RNA (505 nucleotides) under uncultured bacterium. Its description in RNAcentral is "partial 16S ribosomal RNA". It matches the Rfam family "Bacterial small subunit ribosomal RNA", at positions 28 to 507 of the family's 1533-position model. The record is from RNAcentral.